CCUACGGGUGGCAGCAGUGGGGAAUAUUGGUCAAUGGACGCAAGUCUGACCCAGCAACGCCGCGUGAAGGAAGAAGGCUUUCGGGUUGUAAACUUCUUUUUAUGGGGAAGAGCAGAAGACGGUACCUCUUGAAUAAGCCAUGGCUAACUACGUGCCAUCAGCCGCGGUAAUACGAGGGUGUCAAGCGUUAUCCGGAUUUACUGGGUGUAAAGGGCGUGCAGGCGGAGAGACAAGUAAGAUGUGAAAUCCACGUGCUCAACCCGGGAACUGCAUUUGAAACUGUUUCUCUUGAGUGUAGGAGAGGUAGGCGGAAUUCGUGGUGUAGCGGUGAAAUGCGUAGAGAUCAGGAAGAACACCGAUUGCGAAGGCAGAUUACUGGACGACAACUGACGUUGAGGCGCGAAAGCGUGGGGAGCAAACAGGAUUAGAUACCCUUGUAGUC
RNAcentral lists this ribosomal RNA (442 nucleotides) under uncultured bacterium. Its description in RNAcentral is "partial 16S ribosomal RNA". It matches the Rfam family "Bacterial small subunit ribosomal RNA", at positions 338 to 795 of the family's 1533-position model. The record is from RNAcentral.